Caenorhabditis elegans is the source of this 148-nucleotide non-coding RNA. The record is from Ensembl. NCBI's taxonomy places the organism in Eukaryota, Metazoa, Nematoda, Chromadorea, Rhabditida, Rhabditidae.
AAACUUUUUCAUAAAGCUUCUACCCUAUUUUUUUGAAAAAAAUGUUCAAGUGAAAUAGGUCUAAAAGCCAACUGCAAAUGGAACACGUUUGAAGAAUGAGAAAGAACACCCUUCUAAAUCUGAAGUCGUUUUUCGACGUUGUGACGAA